ACAGCAGCCGCCGCGGGAAUACGAAGGGUGCAAACGUUGCUCGGAAUUAUUGGGCGUAAAGGGUGCGUAGGCGGACUGAUAAGUCAGGGGUGAAAUCCCAAGGCCCAACCUUGGAACUGCCUUUGAUACUGUUAGUCUUGAGUUCGAGAGAGGUGAGUGGAACUGCGAGUGUAGAGGUGAAAUUCGUAGAUAUUCGCAAGAACACCAGUGGCGAAGGCGGCUCACUGGCCCGGAACUGACGCUGAGGCGCGAAAGCGUGGGGAGCAAACAGGAUUAGAUACCCCGGUAGUCCCUGUCUCUUAUAC
RNAcentral lists this ribosomal RNA (305 nucleotides) under uncultured bacterium. RNAcentral's name for it is "partial 16S ribosomal RNA". It matches the Rfam family "Bacterial small subunit ribosomal RNA", at positions 508 to 807 of the family's 1533-position model. The record is from RNAcentral.